Molecule: ribosomal RNA, 316 nt
Filed under: uncultured bacterium
Lineage: Bacteria
Description: bacterial SSU rRNA
Rfam family: Bacterial small subunit ribosomal RNA
Source: RNAcentral
GAUGAACGCUGGCGGCGUGCUUAACACAUGCAAGUCGAACGGACUUUUAAUGAAGCCUAGCGAUUUAAAAGUUAGUGGCGGACGGGUGAGUAACGCGUGGGUAACCUGCCUUAUACAGGGGGAUAACACUUAGAAAUAGGUGCUAAUACCGCAUAAGCGCACAGUAUCGCAUGAUACAGUGUGAAAAACUCCGGUGGUAUAAGAUGGACCCGCGUCUGAUUAGCUAGUUGGUGAGGUUAACGGCUCACCAAGGCGACGAUCAGUAGCCGGACUGAGAGGUUGACCGGCCACAUUGGGACUGAGAUACGGCCCAGAC